CAGGACGAACGCUGGCGGCAUGCCUAACACAUGCAAGUCGAACGGAGUAAUGACUUCGGUUAUUACUUAGUGGCGAACGGGUGAGUAACACGUGAAUAAUCUGCCCUGUACGAUGGGAUAACAGCUGGAAACGGCUGCUAAUACCGUAUAUGACCACGCCGAGGCAUCUCGGAGGGGUGAAAGCGCUUAAGCGGUACAGGAUGAGUUCGCGUCCAAUUAGCUAGUUGGUGAGGUAACGGCCCACCAAGGCGACGAUUGGUAGCCGACCUGAGAGGGUGAUCGGCCACACUGGAACUGAGACACGGUCCAGACUCCUACGGGAGGCAGCAGUGGGGAAUAUUGGGCAAUGGAGGAAACUCUUACCCAAGCAAUGCCGCGUGAGUGAUGAAGGUCUUCGGAUUGUAAAGCUCUUUGAUUGGGGACGAAUAAAUGACGGUACCCAAGGAACAAGCCCCGGCUAACUAUGUGCCAGCCGCCGC
Molecule: ribosomal RNA, 479 nt
Filed under: uncultured bacterium
Lineage: Bacteria
Description: bacterial SSU rRNA
Rfam family: Bacterial small subunit ribosomal RNA
Source: RNAcentral